CGCCUUCAGAUUCAAUAUUGGAGGUCUGGUCUGCCCAGUGUAAUUAAUUAACGGCCGCGGUAUUCUGACUGUGCAAAGGUAGCAUAAUCACUUGCCCUUUAAAUGGGGGAAUGUAUGAAUGAUUAGACGAGGUUUUUACUGUCUCUUCCUUAUAAAUUGAGAUUACAAUACUUGUGAAAAUGCGGGUAAGGUAAUAAAGGACGAGAAGACCCUGUUGAGCUUUUAAGCUAAACUAUAGUACAGGUUAAGUUAAGUAAUAAUUUACAAUUAAAACGAGUAAUUUUUUGUAGGCUUUUUGGCUGGGGUGGCAAGCAAAGAUAUUAAGCUUUGUUGUAGUAUACAUUUUGUAUUUCUAGAUAAUAUGUAUCUAUAAAUAAUUAAAUUGAUCCGUUAUAAUAGAACGAUUAAAAGAAUAAGUUACCACAGGGAUAACAGCGUAAUUCUUUUUGAGAGCUCGAAUUGACAAAGGAGUUUGCGACCUCGAUGUUGGAUCAAGAUUCCUAGCGGUGUAGCAGCUGUUACGGGUUUGCCUGUUCGGCGAUUAAUAUCU
Molecule: ribosomal RNA, 550 nt
Filed under: Branchiostoma japonicum (Japanese lancelet)
Lineage: Eukaryota; Metazoa; Chordata; Leptocardii; Amphioxiformes; Branchiostomatidae
Description: partial 16S ribosomal RNA
Rfam family: Bacterial large subunit ribosomal RNA
Source: RNAcentral